UGGCUCAGACGGUAAAGCGUCUGUCUCCAAUGCAGGAGACCCGGGUUCGAUCCCUGG
This 57-nucleotide transfer RNA is filed under the name Capra hircus (goat). It matches the Rfam family "tRNA", at positions 8 to 63 of the family's 71-position model. Rfam says of the family: Transfer RNA (tRNA) molecules are approximately 80 nucleotides in length. The record is from Rfam by way of RNAcentral. Lineage: Eukaryota; Metazoa; Chordata; Mammalia; Artiodactyla; Bovidae. RNAcentral also lists the same sequence under 1 other name.